Molecule: non-coding RNA, 754 nt
Filed under: Saccharosydne procerus
Lineage: Eukaryota; Metazoa; Arthropoda; Insecta; Hemiptera; Delphacidae
Source: RNAcentral
UAUAAAUAUAUUUGAUCAAAUUAUGGGUGAAGGUUUUUAAGUAAAAAUAGAUGUAAAAUUUUAUAUAGGAGAUUCGUUUAAAAAAUUCAAAAUUUUAUUUUCAGUGUUUAAAAUUAUUAAAAUUAUUGGGGGGUAAUUUUAGUUAAUUUAAAAUUCAUUGGGGAGAAAAAUUAUGUGCCAGCAUUCGCGGUUAUACAUGGUCCUUUAAUCUUUAUUUUUAAAAGAAAGAUUUUUUUAUUAUUUUAAUUUUAUUUUAAUGGGGGGUGAAAUAAAUUAAAAUUUUUAUUAAAAUUGGGAUUCUUUAUAAUUUAAGAUUUAAACUAGGAUUAGAUACCCUAUUAUUUUAAUUUAAGUAGUAAUUUUUAGGAUUUUAAUUACAUAAAAAAUUAAAUUGAUUUGGCGGUUUAUUAAUCUUUUUAGAGGAAUCUGUUGAUUAAUUUGAUAAACCACGAUUAUUAACAUCUUUAUUUUCUUGUAUAUCUCUAUAUUGAAUAUGUUUAGAGACAAAUUUUCUUUUUUUUAUUUAGAAAUUUAAUUUAGGUCAAGGUGCAGUUAUAUAAAGAUUUAAAUGGAUUACAAUAAUUUUUGUUUGUGGAAAAUAAAAUAAAUAAAUUUUAAAGGGGAUUUAAAAGUAAUAUUUUUUUUUUAAAAAUUAUGAAUCAUGCUCUGAUUUAUGUACAUAUCGCCCGUCAUUCUCGUUUUAUCGAGACAAGUCGUAACAAAGUAGAUGUAUUGGAAAAUGUAUCUAGAGGGA